This 497-nucleotide ribosomal RNA is filed under the name uncultured bacterium. RNAcentral's name for it is "partial 16S ribosomal RNA". It matches the Rfam family "Bacterial small subunit ribosomal RNA", at positions 28 to 507 of the family's 1533-position model. The record is from RNAcentral.
GACGAACGCUGGCGGCAUGCCUAAUACAUGCAAGUCGAGCGAACAGAUGAAGUGCUUGCACUUCUGACGUUAGCGGCGAACGGGUGAGUAACACGUAAGGAAUCUACCUAUAAGCGGGGGAUAACAUUCGGAAACGGGUGCUAAUACCGCAUAAUAUCUUCUUCCGCAUGGAAGAAGAUUGAAAGACGGCUCUGCUGUCACUUAUAGGUGACCUUGCGGUGCAUUAGUUAGUUGGUGGGGUAACGGCCUACCAAGACGAUGAUGCAUAGCCGACCUGAGAGGGUGAUCGGCCACAUUGGGACUGAGACACGGCCCAAACUCCUACGGGAGGCAGCAGCAGGGAAUCUUCCGCAAUGGGCGAAAGCCUGACGGAGCAAUGCCGCGUGAGUGAAGAAGGCCUUCGGGUCGUAAAACUCUGUUAUAAGAGAAGAACAAAUUGUAGAGUAACUGCUACAGUCUUGACGGUAUCUUAUCAGAAAGCCACGGCUAACUACGUG